GAUGAACGCUAGCUACAGGCUUAACACAUGCAAGUCGAGGGGAAACGGCAUCGAAAGCUUGCUUUUGAUGGGCGUCGAACGGCGCACGGGUGAGUAACGCGUAUCCAACCUGCCCAUCACUUGGGAAUAACCUUGCGAAAGUAAGACUAAUGCCCAAUGACAUCCCACGAAGGCAUCCGAAUGGGAUUAAAGAUUUAUCGGUGAUGGAUGGGGAUGCGUCUGAUUAGCUUGUUGGCGGGGUGACGGUCCACCAAGGCAACGAUCAGUAGGCGUUCCGAGGGGAGGGGACCGCCACAUGGGGACUGAGAUACGCCCAAGACUCCUACGGGAGGAAGGAGGGGGGAAUAUGGCACAAGGGGAGGAAGCUUAAUGCAGCGACGACGGGGGGGGAAGGACGCCCUUUGGGUUGUAAACUCCUUUCGAACGGGAGGAAGGCGCCUGGUUUGAAGUUUUGUGAAGGUAGUUGAAGAAGAAGCACCGGCUAAUUCCGUG
RNAcentral lists this ribosomal RNA (492 nucleotides) under uncultured bacterium. Its description in RNAcentral is "partial 16S ribosomal RNA". It matches the Rfam family "Bacterial small subunit ribosomal RNA", at positions 28 to 507 of the family's 1533-position model. The record is from RNAcentral.